RNAcentral lists this ribosomal RNA (253 nucleotides) under uncultured bacterium. RNAcentral describes it as "partial 16S ribosomal RNA". It matches the Rfam family "Bacterial small subunit ribosomal RNA", at positions 524 to 776 of the family's 1533-position model. The record is from RNAcentral.
UACAGAGGGGGCAAGCGUUGUUCGGAAUUACUGGGCGUAAAGGGCGCGUAGGCGGACCUGCAAGUCGGGGGUGAAAGCCCGAGGCUCAACCUCGGAACUGCCUUCGAUACUGCGGGUCUCGAGUCCGGGAGAGGUGAGUAGAAUUCCUAGUGUAGAGGUGAAAUUCGUAGAUAUUAGGAAGAACACCAGUGGCGAAGGCGGCUCACUGGCCCGGUACUGACGCUGAGGCGCGAAAGCCAGGGGAGCAAACGGG